GUGAGUUUGUGCAUGUCUUGUUUAUGUAACAGGUUUGCUGGUCACUUCAGUCAUAGAACUGUGAUAGAUGACAAGUGUCUGAGGAUACAAAAUAAAUGUGACAGGAUCCUAAUCUUUUAGUAAAUAUAGCCCAGUUAGGACAAGAAGACAUACACAGACUAUUGAUAUCAAGAACUGGGAAUUUACAAGCUUUUAGGGCAGAGUGGGUGGGUGGCAGGCAAUAUAAUGCUGUAAAAAUUAGGAGAAAUGUGAAAUCACAGUAACCUGGAAGGUUCAGGAAAGGACUCACUGAGAAAGUAGGACUGAGGGUCUUGAAAAACAGAAAACAUGUGGAUGUCCCAGCUGCAGAAUAGUAAUGUUACAGCAGAAAUGUCUCAGAUCUAUUUAUAAGAUAGUGUUUUGGAUAACGUGGCUCAUGUGGAAGGUUUCGAUUCCAGAGUAAUGGGAAACAAGGUGGAACAGGACUGGAUUAUGGGGAUCUUUGAUACUAAGGAGCUGAGGACGCUAAGACCCUAUAGAAAUAAAAGGAAGAUGACUAGGAGCCUAAGUCCCACCCUUCCAACUUCCAGCUUUAAUGUAAAAAGAAGCUAACAGCAAAUGCCUGGAUGCAACUUGCAUAUUCUCAAAGAGAAGAUGGUCCAGAGAGUAAGUGGAAUGGUCCUGGCUGCCAAAUGCUAAUAGCUUGAAAAUCCUCCACGAGAGAAGAAAAUCAAUUAAGAUGUAAUUAAAUCAUCACUUCAUCAUUUCUGCAUAUGAAAUAUUACACUGAGAUCAAGAAUUUGGUAUGUCUGGAUGCUGAUGACUGUCCCUUUAUCCCUAUAUCC
This 824-nucleotide long non-coding RNA is filed under the name Homo sapiens (human). Its description in RNAcentral is "HSALNT0066203". Lineage: Eukaryota; Metazoa; Chordata; Mammalia; Primates; Hominidae. The record is from RNAcentral.